GGCCGACCCAUCCAGCGGUGCAGCGGCCGGCCGGGUAGGCGCCAGGACCCCGAGCCUCGGCGGCGGCGGCGCUGCCUUCACUCAUCUCGUCCUCGCUCCCGUCCUACCCCGUUCCGCGCUGGGUGGAGUCCAAGUCUGAUUGCGAGGGUCCGGAACGCCGCCUCGGGGGCUUGACUCCAGCCCCGGGGAUCCAGAACGGCGCCCGGGGGUCCCUACGUCUGCCUUGGGGGCUCGAGUCCCUUCCUGGGCGUCCGUGACGUCGCCCAGGGGUCUCCACGUCUGCCCUGGAACCUGGAGAGCCGCCGUGGGGGUCCCGGAAGCCGCCCAGGAGUCCCCACGUGUGCCCUGGGGGCUCUUGUCCAGCUCUGGGGGGUCCCGGACGCCACACAGGGGGUCCCCACGUCUGCUUUGGGGGCUCGAGUCUAGCCCUGGGGGUCCUGGACGCCGCCUCGGCGUCCCCGCGUCUGCCUUGGGGGCUCGAGUCCCGCCCUGGGGGUCCUGGACGCCGCCUCGGCGUCCCCGCGUCUGCCUUGGGGGCUCGAGUCUCGCCCUGGGGGUCCCCGAUGCCGCCUGGGGGUCCUCACGACUACCUUGGAGACUGGAGUUCCCCUUGGGAGUCCCGGACGCCACCCCGGAGUCACCGCGUCUAGCUUUGGGGGCUUGAGUCCAGCCCUGGGGGUCCCGGACGUCCCCGAGGAGCCCCCACGUCUGCCUUUGGGGCUUGAGUCCAGCCGUGGGGGUCCCGGACGUCGCCGAGGAGCCCCCACGUCUGCCUUUGGGGCUUGAGACCUGCUCUGGGGGUCCCGGACGCCGCCCAGGGUCUCGCUCUGUCACCCAGGCUGGAGUGCAGUGGCGUGAUCUCGGCUCACUGCAACCUCCGCCUCCCGGGUUCAAGCGAUUCUCCCGCCUCAGCCUCCCGAGGAGCUGGGAUCACAGGUGUGCACCACCGCGUCCGUCUCAUUGUUAAAUUUUUCCUAGAGACGAGGUUUCGCCACGUUGCCCAGGCUGGUCUCAAACCCCUGAGCUCAGGUGAUCCCCCCACCUCGGCCUCCGAAGGCGCUGGGCUUCCAGGCGUGCAGAGGGCUCUUCGUCUACACGCAUCACUGGAUUUUCUACCCACGGGGACACGUGACCCCAGCGAGGUGGUCAGGGAGUCGUCGCCGGCCGGCGCUGCAGCCCAGGGAUGAUGACGGCUCUAGGAGGUUGGUUGUGGAGCACAGAUGCCGGCGGUGUGGGCACGAGGCCCUGCACCUGCGUUUCUCCUGCACAGGCCCCGGAACCCCGGGAUGGGAUCGCUGUGGAGUGAUGAAGUCAGUGGGCUCUCGGCGAGGCUGGCGGAUGGGAGUCGGCAGCAUCCGGGCUGGGCCCCUGAGGCUUGGCUCCCUCUCUGCACCCCAGGGGUCCCACAGGCUGGUGACAGCGCGACUGAAGGCCACGCUCCAGUCAGGAGGCCGUCCCACGUGUGACCCCAGGCUGGGAUGCACCGGUGCGAUCUCAGCUCACUGCAACCUCCGCCUCCCGGGUUCAAGCGAUUCACCUGCCUCAGCCUCCCGAGUGCCCGCCACCACGUCCGGCUAAUUUUAGUAGAGACGGGGUUUCACCCCGUUGGCCACGCUGGUCUUGUACUCCUGGCCUCCGGUGAUCCGCCCGCCCUGGCCUCCUCAAGUGCUGGGAUGACAGGCGUGAGCCGCUGCGCCCGGCCCCCAUGGCACUUCGAGUCCCACGUUGCAGGUAGGUUUUGUCAACUUCCUGGUCAGCACACCCGUGUGCAUAGCUUGAUUCAUUGUGUGGCCAAGCUGAGAUCACUUAAGCCCAGGACCAGCCUGGGCACCAUAGUGGGACCCUAGGUUUUCCUUUUCUUUUUUUUUUUUUUUUUGAGACAGAGUCUCGCUCUGUCGCCCAGGCGGGAGUGCAGUGGCACGAUCUCAGCUCACUGCAAGCUCCACCUCCCGGGUUCACGCCAUCCUCCUGCCUCAGCCUCCCGAGUAGCUGGGACUACA
Long non-coding RNA from Gorilla gorilla gorilla (western lowland gorilla), 2000 nucleotides. RefSeq lists it as uncharacterized. Lineage: Eukaryota; Metazoa; Chordata; Mammalia; Primates; Hominidae. The record is from RefSeq and is a predicted model, not a curated record. The transcript has 3 exons.